CUGGCUAUUUUUGGAGACCAGCGAUUAGACUGGAGAGGCUGACAGAUAGGAUAAUGGAAAGUGGGUGGUGGGAGAAAAAGUUGGAAAGUUGAUUUGGGGCAAGAUGAAGAAACUUGAAUGCCACGUCAAAAACCUUUAACAUAAUCUCCUAGUAACGGGGCGCUAACAGCGGUCUUCCAGCUGAAGGGCACCGUCCUCGGAUCUGUAUUUGGAAAGACAACUCUGGUCGCAGUGUGAGAUGUGGAGGAGAGGUGGGGAAAACUGAGAGGGAGGCUUCUGAAAACGGCUAGGCAGGACAUCUGAGCGAGGGCAAUAAGAGGAGCAGGGUUAAGAAGAAGGGAUGGAUUCCGGAGAAUUCUUUAAGUGUCUGUUGUCGACACAGGUGAGCAGUCGUGGACUCUAUUCAACCCAUGGAAAUAUCUCCUGAGAAUACAAGUCACUGGUCCACUUCUGACCCUCUAGUGGCUAGGAUGCGCAGAUGGAAGCUGAGAUUCCCAGGGCUAAUCCAAAAGAGAUCUGCUUCAUUUUUCGGUGGAGAAGCUCUAGAACAGUGUUGACCAAUAGAACUUCUGCUCUGACGGACACAUGCUGUAUCUGUGUUGUUCAAUACACAGGCACUAGCCACACGUGCGUAUUAAACACUUGGAAUGUAGCUCCUGUGACCGAGGAACUGAAUUUUUAAUUUUAUUUAAUUUUAAAUCAUUUCAAUUUAAAUACCUACAUAUGACUAUUGGCUGCUGUAUGGACAGCACAACUUUAGAGAUUGCUGAACUAACAUUCAAGUGUAAGGCAACAUUAAGACUGAUACGGGGCGAAUUGUGUCUCUCCCUGUUUAUGUUUUGAAGUCCUAACCCCCAGGACCUCAGAAUGCGACUGUAUUUGAAUAUAGGACCUUUGAAAGUAAAAUGAGGUCAUCUGAAUGGGCCCUAAUCCAACGUGACUGGUGUCCCUACAAGAAGAGGACAUUAGGACAUAGGCACACAGAGGGGAAGACCAUAUGGAAACACGUGGAGAAGAUGGCCAUCCACGAGACACGGAGAGAGGCCUCAGAAGAAACCAACCCUGCUGACAUCGUGCUCUUGGACUUCUAGCCUCCAGAGUU
Equus caballus (horse) is the source of this 1102-nucleotide non-coding RNA. Lineage: Eukaryota; Metazoa; Chordata; Mammalia; Perissodactyla; Equidae. The record is from RefSeq and is a predicted model, not a curated record.